GGACUACUGGGGUUUCUAAUCCCGUUCGCUCCCCUCGCUUUCGCACCUGAGCGUCAGAAACGAGCCAGGACACUGCCUUCGCCUUUGGUGUUCUUCCGGAUCUCUACGCAUUUCACUGCUCCACCCGGAGUUCCGUGUCCCUCUCUCGCUCUCAAGUCCACCAGUUUUCAAGGCACUUCAUCAGUUAAGCUGAUGACUGUCACCCUGAACUUAAUGGACCGCCUGCGUGCCCUUUACGCCCAAUAAAUCCGGACAACGCUUGCCCCCUACGUAUUACCGCGGCUGCUGGCAC
This 292-nucleotide ribosomal RNA is filed under the name uncultured bacterium. RNAcentral describes it as "partial 16S ribosomal RNA". The record is from RNAcentral.